CCUGCCCCGAAGUGGGGAAUAACUGCUACGAAAGAGUAGCUAAUACCCCAUAGUAUCCGGUUUAUCCGGAUUAAAGAUUUAUCGCUUCGGGAGGGGCCUGCGUCUGAUUAGCUUGUUGGUGGGGUAAAAAGCUCACCAAGGCGACGAUCAGUAAGCUGGUUCGAGAGGAUGACCAGCCACACUGGGACUGAGAUACGGCCCAGACUCCUACGGGAGGCAGCAGUGAGGAAUCUUCCACAAUGGACGAAAGUCUGAUGGAGCAAUACCGCGUGCAGGACGACGCUUUUCGGAGUGUAAACUGCUUUUGUCGUCGAAGAUUAUGACUGUAGACGAAGAAUAAGGACCGGCUAACUACGUG
RNAcentral lists this ribosomal RNA (358 nucleotides) under uncultured bacterium. RNAcentral describes it as "bacterial SSU rRNA". It matches the Rfam family "Bacterial small subunit ribosomal RNA", at positions 125 to 507 of the family's 1533-position model. The record is from RNAcentral.